CCUACGGGAGGCUGCAGUGAGGAAUAUUGGUCAAUGGGCGGGAGCCUGAACCAGCCAAGUCGCGUGAGGGACUACGGCCCUAUGGGUUGUACACCUCUUUUGGCGGGGAGCAAUGCCGGGCACGCGUGCCGGGAGGGAGCGUACCCGCAGAAUAAGCAUCGGCUAACUCCGUGCCAGCAGCCGCGGUAAUACGGAGGAUGCGAGCGUUAUCCGGAUUUAUUGGGUUUAAAGGGUGCGUAGCGGGGUUUUUAAGUCAGGUGGGAAAUUUUGCGGCUCAACCGCGGCAUUGCAGUUGAUACUGGGAGCUUUGAGUGCAGUUGAGGUAUGCGGAAUGCGUGGUGUAGCGGUGAAAUGCUUAGAUAUCACGAAGAACUCCGAUUGCGAAGGCAGCAUACCAAGCUGCCACUGACGUUGAGGCACGAAAGUGUGGGGAUCGAACAGGAUUAGAUACCCGAGUAGUC
This 461-nucleotide ribosomal RNA is filed under the name uncultured bacterium. Its description in RNAcentral is "partial 16S ribosomal RNA". It matches the Rfam family "Bacterial small subunit ribosomal RNA", at positions 338 to 795 of the family's 1533-position model. The record is from RNAcentral.